CCCAGGGCCCACUUCCUCAGGGUGAGCACCUCCUGGGGUAGCUCACGCUUCAUGCCUUUGCUUGAGUGCUUCUGCACAUACACGACUGGGAUGACCCCUCACAGGAUGUGUGCAGGGAGUCUGUGUAGGCUUCCGUGUACCCGCCCGGGAGCACCGAUGGCGCCAAGUGGCUGCCAAACCCUGGGCUGAGAACUUGAGCUUGAGCUCAUGGCCAACAUGAUGAACCAUGGCGCACGAGUCACAAGGUCUGGAGGAAAUGUGCUCAUCCCAGCUGUGAUUCAGCGAGAUCUCAGAGGCAGGCUCGUUUUCUUGAAGGCCCGUCAAAGGAGUUGGUGGGAAGGGAGGGGGCGGCGUCGCCAUGAUCGCAGGGGCCACAGGCUGACCGUGGGCGGGCCCCAGAGGCCGGCAGGCCCCCAUCGGCUGCAGACACAUCCUCCACCAGAGACAUCCUGGAGCUGUGCUUGGCCUUCGAGCAGCCAGUCUGCAGAGAGAACUCGAGGCUUCUGCUGGCUCACGUGGAUCUGUCACAGAACGCAUCUUGUCGUCACCGCCAACGUGGAACCUCGAGCCUUGGGAGGUGGGACUCUCUCCUCCAGGGACACGCUUUUCGUACAAGGUUGCAAACCCUGGGGGUGGAGGAGGUGCCUUUGGACAACAGGGGUUCUCUGGAACCGCUCCUCCUGCCCUCCACGGGCUACCCCAGAGCCACCACACCAGACUGAUAUGUGUGGGGACAGCUGGCAGCCACCCCGAUCCCGCGGCCACCCUAACCUGGUGGCCACCCUGACCCCAUAGACACCCUGACCCCGUGGCCACCCCAACCCCAUGGCCCAGCUGUAUCGGCGUUGCUGGGCGAAGGCAGAGGCGACUCAUCCCAACUCUCCCACCCCAAGCGGGACCUCUGUCCUCGCCAAGUAGCCACUGAGUCCCAGAAGUGCUGCACCCCCAGGCUCCGGGCCUCGAGAGGAUGAAGGGUGGACCUGGACACCUGUUCCUGGACGCUCCUACCACCCUGGCAGGGAGUCCAGGCAGCUGCAGAGACAGCCGCCAGCCAGCCAUGUAGACAGGCCACCCUGCAGGUGAGCCCUCCAGCCCCGGCCGCACAUGAGGAGCCAUCCCCACCAUCCCCGUGGAAACAUCAGCUCUACAAGCGGCCCCUGAGCUUCAGGACCACCUGUCCGGCACCAGCAGAUGCACUAUGGGGACACGGCCUCCACCUCCCCGGCUCAGUGCUCCACCUGCACUACCCAGGAUCCCAUGGCGGGUCCAGCCCUCCCACUGGCCUGUGGCACCGCAUCUUCCCUUCCUGCCCAGCUCCAUCGGGCCUACUAGAGCCCCACAGCCUCGUGCUGCUUGGGGGCUCACGCUGAGCAAGAUGUGGGCAGCCCUCCAGGAGCUCACAGCUGCAGGGAAGAGACAUGGCAGGAGGCCCAUCAUGCGGCCAAGGUCAGGGUAGAGGCAGAGACGGAGAGAGAGAUGGAGGGAGAGACGGAGAGAGAGACAGUGAGAGACAGAGAUGGAGGGAGACAGAGAGAGAGAGAGACAGAGACACAGAGGGAGAGAUAGAGGGAGAAAGAGAAACAGAAUGGAAUUCCCUGGAGACUCAUUCCAUUCCCUGGAAUGGAGAUUCAAGAAGGCUUUGUGUCUUGGAAAGAAGUAGGGUCUAGGGAGACAGAAUAGUAAUGAUGGUGUGAGGCCUAGAUGCCCCCGCCUGCAUGCAGCACCCAUGGGGGGUCACAAUGCUCUCAUGAUGCAGUCUGUCCCCACAUCCCCAGCCUGGAUGAGGAGAUGAGGCCUGGAGCCCGCAGGUACAUCUGCUGAUCCCCCACUCCCCACCCCACCAGCCCGGGUGCCCGGGAGGAUGAGGUCUGUGAGGCUCUGGGGCAGGAGCAGCCAGUGUGUGUGUAUAGGUGGAGGGCCCAGCCAGUGGAAGGUCCUGCUCUGCCCAUGGGGUGGGGGUGGGGCUGCUGUACAAGGCCCCCCCUUCCCCCCGCCCCGUGCUGCCACCAUGCUCCCUGGGCUCUGCGCUGUAGGCUCCAUGGUCUGUCCCCACGGAUGGCCACGCUCAGACCUCCCGCGGCCAUAGCCUGACAUGCCCACCCUCCUGAGCAUAUCUGUAUUUUAAAAGAGAACAGUGUGCUUGAAACAGAACCUUCUGGGUGGCUGUGGUGGCCGGGCCCCAAGAGAGUGGAGAAACGGGACACAUGAUGUUGGGCAGCAGAGCCGCCAAGCACCAGGCUGUGGUGUCUAGAGCGCUCAUGGCCGGGGGUCCUGGGACUGUGGGCUGGAGGGAGGUCAGAAGCUAAGACCAGCAGGAUGCUCGCGUUAGCUCGCUGCAGUGGCGAUGUGCUCCCUCGAGGAGGAGCAGGUGGAGAUGAAGAGCACAGGAGCCAGAAAGCAGCACAGGUCUCCCCACCAGGUCUCCCAGGACUGGCUGACCAUCUCUUCAGAUGAA
Nyctereutes procyonoides (raccoon dog) is the source of this 2455-nucleotide long non-coding RNA. RefSeq lists it as uncharacterized. The transcript is spliced from 4 exons. The record is from RefSeq and is a predicted model, not a curated record. NCBI's taxonomy places the organism in Eukaryota, Metazoa, Chordata, Mammalia, Carnivora, Canidae.